CCUUAAGUAUCUACAUUCCUCUAAAGUUGAUAUGCCCUAAAAAAAGUACAUGAGAAAUUAUGUGAAAACCAUUUGGGUAGUAGAUUGUUGGCCUACAAGAUAUUUCGAUAAAAAUACUACUGGCCCAUGAUGCAAUAAGAUAUAGCCAGCUUCAUCAAGUGUUGUGACUAAUGCCAGUGGAACGCUAACAUCCAGUACUAGCCAGCUAUUCUGUUAGCCCCA
This 222-nucleotide long non-coding RNA is filed under the name Elaeis guineensis (African oil palm). RNAcentral describes it as "long non-coding RNA (EGUI_LNC040260)". The record is from RNAcentral. Lineage: Eukaryota; Viridiplantae; Streptophyta; Magnoliopsida; Arecales; Arecaceae.